Molecule: ribosomal RNA, 484 nt
Filed under: uncultured bacterium
Lineage: Bacteria
Description: partial 16S ribosomal RNA
Rfam family: Bacterial small subunit ribosomal RNA
Source: RNAcentral
AUUGAACGCUGGCGGCAGGCCUAACACAUGCAAGUCGAGCGGAUGAAGGGAGCUUGCUCCUGGAUUCAGCGGCGGACGGGUGAGUAAUGCCUAGGAAUCUGCCUGGUAGUGGGGGAUAACGUCCGGAAACGGGCGCUAAUACUGCAUACGCCCUGAGGGAGAAAGUGGGGGAUCUUCGGACCUCACGCUAUCAGAUGAGCCUAGGUCGGAUUAGCUAGUUGGUGGGGUAAAGGCCUACCAAGGCGACGAUCCGUAACUGGUCUGAGAGGAUGAUCAGUCACACUGGAACUGAGACACGGUCCAGACUCCUACGGGAGGCAGCAGUGGGGAAUAUUGGACAAUGGGCGAAAGCCUGAUCCAGCCAUGCCGCGUGUGUGAAGAAGGUCUUCGGAUUGUAAAGCACUUUAAGUUGGGAGGAAAGGCAGUAAGUUAAUACCUUGCUGUUUUGACGUUACCAAAAGAAUAAGCACCGGCUAACUUCGUG